RNAcentral lists this transfer RNA (86 nucleotides) under Holosporales bacterium. RNAcentral's name for it is "tRNA-Leu". It matches the Rfam family "tRNA". From Rfam's summary of the family: Transfer RNA (tRNA) molecules are approximately 80 nucleotides in length. Their secondary structure includes four short double-helical elements and three loops (D, anti-codon, and T loops). The record is from RNAcentral. Lineage: Bacteria; Pseudomonadati; Pseudomonadota; Alphaproteobacteria; Holosporales.
GCGGAUGUGGUGGAAUUGGUAGACACGCAAGAUUUAGGUUCUUGUGAUCAAAAAUCGUGGGGGUUCGAGUCCCCCCAUCCGCACCA